Long non-coding RNA from Lycium barbarum (goji berry), 686 nucleotides. RefSeq lists it as uncharacterized. The transcript is spliced from 2 exons. The record is from RefSeq and is a predicted model, not a curated record. NCBI's taxonomy places the organism in Eukaryota, Viridiplantae, Streptophyta, Magnoliopsida, Solanales, Solanaceae.
CCGAGGUGGAAAGGUAAGUGCCUGCACGGCUUAGGCAAAAAAGGUCGUGACAGUUUUAUUUUUUCUCUUCAAAACAUUAUUUCUAUUCCAUGAGAGUUAUCACCGCCCUCUCCUGAAUUUAGCAUAUGUUUCAAGCUGAGAGCUACAUUCCAUAAUUCUCUUGGCUUAACCCACCAUAACCAUUGGAUCUGCCAUUAUCGACCCAAUGCGCCGAGAAAGAGAAGUAUAAUAACAAUCCACCAUAAACCAUCAUAAUCAAAGUAUGUCAUCAAGAAAUAUCAACGCGAUAACAAUUCAAAAUAACCCACCACAAUCAAUGUAUAGAACCCGGUUUGGUAGAAGGCAAAAUUCUUUACAUAUGAAUAUUUCAGAUAUGGUAAGUGAUUUUAUAUUAUUGUGGGGAUGUUGCAGUUUUUCUUCUCUUGAUUCUAGCUAGACCUUUUUUCAGCAUUACUGUAAAAAAUUUCCACUCUGCUGGAUACAAUUUUUGUUUCUUUGUUCUAUUUCUGAUCUGUAAAAGACACAAUGUAGUUGAGACUAGCCGACGUUUCAUCAAAAUGCAGAUUUUGCCAUUCAUCUUCUCAACAAAGAUCACUUGUGCUAUGUAUAGAUUGACAAAAAUGGAUUUAGAUAUUAGGUGAUGAUUAACUCAUUAAUGAUUGAAGAUAUGUUGUAGAGUUUCUCAA